CAGCCGCCGCGGUAAAACCAGCACCUCAAGUGGUCAGGAUGAUUAUUGGGCCUAAAGCAUCCGUAGCCGGCUCUGUAAGUUUUCGGUUAAAUCUGUACGCUCAACGUACAGGCCGCCGGGAAUACUGCAGAGCUAGGGAGUGGGAGAGGUAGACGGUACUCGGUAGGAAGGGGUAAAAUCCUUUGAUCUAUUGAUGACCACCUGUGGCGAAGGCGGUCUACCAGAACACGUCCGACGGUGAGGGAUGAAAGCUGGGGGAACAAACCGGAUUAGAUACCCGGGUACUCCCAGCUGUAAACUAUGCAAACUCAGUGAUGCAUUGGCUUGUGGCCAAUGCAGUGCUGCAGGGAAGCCGUUAAGUUUGCCGCCUGGGAAGUACGUACGCAAGUAUGAAACUUAAAGGAAUUGGCGGGGGAGCAC
Molecule: ribosomal RNA, 420 nt
Filed under: uncultured Nitrososphaerota archaeon
Lineage: Archaea; Thermoproteati; Nitrososphaerota
Description: bacterial SSU rRNA
Rfam family: Archaeal small subunit ribosomal RNA
Source: RNAcentral